Molecule: non-coding RNA, 26 nt
Filed under: Cricetulus griseus (Chinese hamster)
Lineage: Eukaryota; Metazoa; Chordata; Mammalia; Rodentia; Cricetidae
Source: RNAcentral
UUUCACAAAUAAAGGCUAGCAGAAAC